AUUGAACGCUGGCGGCAUGCCUUACACAUGCAAGUCGAACGGCAGCGGACCUUCGGGUGCCGGCGAGUGGCGAACGGGUGAGUAAUAUAUCGGAACGUACCUUUCAGUGGGGGAUAACGUAGCGAAAGUUACGCUAAUACCGCAUAUUCUGUGAGCAGGAAAGCAGGGGAUCGCAAGACCUUGCGCUGAUUGAGCAGCCGAUAUCAGAUUAGCUAGUUGGUGAGGUAAAGGCUCACCAAGGCGACGAUCUGUAGCGGGUCUGAGAGGAUGAUCCGCCACACUGGAACUGAGACACGGUCCAGACUCCUACGGGAGGCAGCAGUGGGGAAUUUUGGACAAUGGGCGCAAGCCUGAUCCAGCCAUGCCGCGUGAGUGAAGAAGGCCUGG
This 387-nucleotide ribosomal RNA is filed under the name uncultured bacterium. RNAcentral describes it as "bacterial SSU rRNA". It matches the Rfam family "Bacterial small subunit ribosomal RNA", at positions 30 to 419 of the family's 1533-position model. The record is from RNAcentral.